GGUUGAUCCCGCCGGCGGCCACUGCUAUCAGGUUUCGACUAAGCCAUGCGAGUCAUGGGGUCGCAAGACACCGGCGCACCGCUCAGUAACACGCGGACAAUCUACCCCCAGGAGGGGAAUAACCUCGGGAAACUGAGGGUAAUUCCCCAUAGCCACCAUAUGCUGGAAUGCUUUGGUGGCAAAAGCUCCGGCGCCUGAGGAUGAGUCUGCGGCCUAUCAGGUAGUAUGUGGUGUAAAGGACCACAUAGCCGAGGACGGGUACGGGCCCUGAGAGGGGGAGCCCGGAGAUGGACUCUGAGACACUAGUCCAGGCCCUACGGGGCGCAGCAGGCGCGAAAACUGUGCAAUGCGCGAAAGCGCGACACGGGAAACCUGAGUGCCUUGACAAAGUCAAGGCUUUUCUUAAGCCUAAAAAGCUUAAGGAAUAAGAGCUGGGUAAGACGGGUGCCAGCCGCCGCGGUAACACCCGCAGCUCAAGUGGUGGUCACUUUUAUUGAGCCUAAAGCGUUCGUAGCCGGUCCUGUAAAUCUUCAGAAAAAUUCUCCCGCUCAACGGGAGAUCCCCUGAAGAGACUGUGGGACUAGGGACUGGGUGAGGUUGAAUGUACUUCUGGGGUAGGGGUAAAAUCCUGUAAUCCUGGAAGGACAACCG
This 651-nucleotide ribosomal RNA is filed under the name uncultured archaeon. RNAcentral's name for it is "bacterial SSU rRNA". It matches the Rfam family "Archaeal small subunit ribosomal RNA", at positions 6 to 662 of the family's 1478-position model. The record is from RNAcentral.